RNAcentral lists this ribosomal RNA (680 nucleotides) under uncultured bacterium. RNAcentral describes it as "bacterial SSU rRNA". It matches the Rfam family "Bacterial small subunit ribosomal RNA", at positions 774 to 1466 of the family's 1533-position model. The record is from RNAcentral.
AGGAUUAGAUACCCUGGUAGUCCACGCCGUAAACGAUGCAUACUCGCUGUAGGUACGUUAUAGUAUCUGUGGCCAAGCGAAAGUCAUAAGUAUGCCACCUGGGGAGUACGUCGGCAACGAUGAAACUCAAAGGAAUUGACGGGGGCCCGCACAAGCGGAGGAACAUGUGGUUUAAUUCGAUGAUACGCGAGGAACCUUACCUGGGCUUAAAUGGAGAUUGCAUAAAGCAGAGAUGCUUUUUUCUUCGGACUAUCUUCAAGGUGCUGCAUGGUUGUCGUCAGCUCGUGCCGUGAGGUGUCGGGUUAAGUCCCAUAACGAGCGCAACCCCUACCGUUAGUUACCAGCAUGUUAUGAUGGGGACUCUAGCGGGACUGCCGGUGUAAACCGCGAGGAAGGUGGGGAUGACGUCAAAUCAGCACGGCCCUUACGCCCAGGGCUACACACGUGUUACAAUGGCCGGUACAGAGGGCAGCUACCUGGUAACAGGAUGCGAAUCUCGAAAGCCGGUCCCAGUUCGGAUCGGAGUCUGCAACCCGACUCCGUGAAGUUGGAUUCGCUAGUAAUCGCGCAUCAGCCAUGGCGCGGUGAAUACGUUCCCGGGCCUUGUACACACCGCCCGUCAAGCCAUGGAAGCCGAGGGUACCUAAAGUCCGUAACCGUAAGGAGCGGCCUAGGGUAAA